CCUACGGGACGCAGCAGUCGGGAACAUUGCGCAAUGGAGGAAACUCUGACGCAGUGACGCCGCGUAUAGGAAGAAGGUUUUCGGAUUGUAAACUAUUGUCGUGAGGGAAGAAAUUGACAGUACCUCAGGAGGAAGCUCCGGCUAACUACGUGCCAGCAGCCGCGGUAAUACGUAGGGUGCGAGCGUUAAUCGGAAUUACUGGGCGUAAAGGGUGCGCAGGCGGUUGAGUAAGACAGAUGUGAAAUCCCCGAGCUUGACUCGGGAAUGGCAUAUGUGACUGCUCGAAUAGAGUGUGUCAGAGGGAG
RNAcentral lists this ribosomal RNA (305 nucleotides) under uncultured bacterium. RNAcentral's name for it is "bacterial SSU rRNA". It matches the Rfam family "Bacterial small subunit ribosomal RNA", at positions 338 to 660 of the family's 1533-position model. The record is from RNAcentral.